This 497-nucleotide ribosomal RNA is filed under the name uncultured bacterium. Its description in RNAcentral is "partial 16S ribosomal RNA". It matches the Rfam family "Bacterial small subunit ribosomal RNA", at positions 28 to 507 of the family's 1533-position model. The record is from RNAcentral.
GAUGAACGCUGGCGGCGUGCCUAAUACAUGCAAGUCGAGCGAACAGACGAGUAGCUUGCUCCUCUGACGUUAGCGGCGGACGGGUGAGUAACACGUGGAUAACCUACCUAUCAGACUGGGAUAACUUCGGGAAACCGGAGCUAAUACGGGAUAAUAUAUUGAACCGCAUGGUUCAAUAGUGAAAGACGGUUUUGCUGUCACUUAUAGAUGGAUCCGCGCCGCAUUAGCUAGUUGGUAAGGUAACGGCUUACCAAGGCAACGAUGCGUAGCCGACCGGAGAGGGUGAUCGGCCACACUGGAACUGAGACACGGUCCAGACUCCUACGGGAGGCAGCAGUAGGGAAUCGGCCGCAAUGGGCGAAAGCAUGACGGAGCAACGCCGCGUGAGUGAUGAAGGUCUUCGGAUCGUAAAACUCUGUUAUGAGGGAAGAACAAAUGUGUAAGUAAAUAUGCACGUCUUGACGGUACCUAAUCAGAAAGCCACGGCUAACUACGUG